RNAcentral lists this unclassified non-coding RNA (22 nucleotides) under Chlamydomonas reinhardtii. RNAcentral describes it as "small RNA Cre_3637". The record is from RNAcentral. Lineage: Eukaryota; Viridiplantae; Chlorophyta; Chlorophyceae; Chlamydomonadales; Chlamydomonadaceae.
UGUGUGUAGGCGCUGAGUAGCU